GUAAAUGAGAACGCAAUCGAUUAGUUUAUUAAGGUUGGCUUUAUUGUUUAGUUUAAACGUUUCAUGUUGGCAGCACUUUUUUCUCUCUCUCGCCAUCUUUCUUCCUGUAAACGUGUGAAGUCUCGAAUAUAAUACGUUUGUUAAUAUUUCCGUGUUUCAAUGGUUUUCCCCGAAAUAUCAACAUGGUAGCAGAGCGUAGUUGAUGGAAACCAUUGAAAAUAACAUAAAUAAGGAAAUUCCGAACACGGCGUAUUCUGAUACGUUUUUUCACCGCCGUACAUCAAUUGUUUUUUCAACGUAACGGUCUGCUCGGUGCUGAAUUCACAAUAAUCACGAAGAAAAUGUCCAAUCCGGGCCACAAUCCGUUUCAUAUAGACAGACUUGUCGGAAGAGACAAUUAUGCGAGUUGGAAAUUCGCAGUGGAAGCAUAUUUUCGUCUUGAAGAUUUGUGGAGUUGUGUUGAAGGAACCAAUACUGAUGCCAAGAGGGAAAUCAAGGCGAAAUCGAAGCUUAUUUUACUGCUAGAUCCUAUCAAUUACGUACAUGUACAGAGUGCAACUACAUGUAAAGAAGUCUGGGACAGUUUGCAGCAGGCUUUCGAUGACAGUGGAUUGUACAGAAAAGUCGCCUUGCUGAGAGACCUCAUCACAACUACAUUGGACAGUUCUCGUAAUGUGGAUGAUUAUGUGAAUAAGAUAAUGUCGACUGCACACAAGCUCAGGAACAUAAAAUUCGACAUUAAUGAUGAAUGGCUUGGAACGCUGAUGCUGGCUGGCUUACCUGAAGCUUAUAAGCCAAUGAUCAUGGGAUUGGAGAGCUCCGGGAUCACGAUCAGCGCAGAUUCCAUCAAGACAAAACUCCUGCAGGAAGUUCAAUGCUCAGAUAGCACAGCAUUCUUCACAAGGAAGACAGCCGUUCACAGGAAUGACAGCACAGGAAAGAUGUACACACAAAAAGGACCCCGUUGUUACAACUGUAACAAGCAUGGACAUCUUGCCAGGAACUGCCGUGCUCCGAAGAAGAAGAUUACUGAAAAGGUUGAUGAAAAUAAAGGCUUUGUUGCAGCAUUUUCAGCAUGUUCACAGACAAUGAAUCCGGACCUGUGGUAUGUGGACUCAGGUGCCUCAAUGCACAUGACCAACAAACGAGAAUGGAUGUAUGAUGUCACAAGUCCACCAAUACCCACCAUAACUGUGGCCAGUAACACACCGCUACCUGUAGAAAGUAUGGGAAAGGUCAAUUUAUUUAUAAAUGGUAAUGAACAGAAGAUUCAGGUAAGGGAUGUCCUUUACAUACCUAAACUUGCUGCAAAUCUCCUUUCAGUAAGUGCCAUGGUAAACAAUGGCUGUAAAGUAAAUUUUAGUAAAGAAGGUUGUGAUAUUUAUGAUAAAAAUGAUAAUCUCAUCUGCUCAGCCACACUAGUGAAUAAAUUGUAUCAGUUGAACACUCACAGAGAGGUAUUUUCUAACUUAUGUUCAGAUAAUUUAAAUGAUGUUGUCCUAUGGCACAGGCGCAUGGGACACCUGAAUUUUUCAGAUCUCAACAAGUUACCGGAGUGCGCAGAGGGAGUAGAUGCAUUUCCCAACAAGAGUAAAGCUUCACUGACAUGUACCACCUGCCUCGAAGGUAAACAAUGCAGAUUGCCUUUUAACAACAUCGGCUCCAGAGCUUCACGCCCGCUGCAACUUAUCCAUACUGACUUGUGUGGACCGAUGGAACAUACAUCACUGGGAGGUAUGAAGUAUUUCAUUACCUUUAUAGAUGACUACACUAGAAAGGUUCAUGUUUAUUUUUUGACUAACAAACUGAAUAUAUUUGAAGUUUUUAAGGAUUAUAAGAGUAAAGUUGAGAAUGAACUUGAUUCCAAAAUUAAAUCUGUUCGAUCAGAUAAUGGUAAGGAGUACUGUGGCAGAGAAUUUGACAGUUUUCUGAGUAAACAUGGGAUUGAACAUCAAACAAGUGCACCAUACUCACCCCAGCAGAACGGGCUAGCUGAAAGAAUGAAUAGGACAUUAGUAGAAAGAGCUAGGUGUAUGUUGUUCGAUGCUCAUUUGUCAAAGGAAUUUUGGGCAGAAGCACUAGCAACUGCGGCCUAUGUAGUCAAUAGAUCACCGAUUAAAUCACUUGAUGGCAAAACCCCUACAGAAAUGUGGUCAGGCAAGAAACCUAAUUUAUCUAAUUUGAGAAUUUUUGGUUCAGAAGCAAUGGUUCAAGUGCCCAAAGAAAAGCGUAGAAAGUGGGAUUCUAAGUCUAGAAAGUACUUAUUUGUUGGCUAUUGUGAAUCUAGUAAGGCAUACCGGCUACUUGAUCCUGACACUAAUAAAGUUAUCAAAAGCAGAGAUGUGAUAUUUUUAGAAAAUGUUCGAAGACUUGAGAAUAAUGUGUACUUACCUUGCUCACCUCACAGAGAUCCUGAAGUGCAGCUGAAUGAAGAACCCUGCAAUGAAGAACCACAAACCAGUUUAGACCAGUCAAGCGAUGAAUACCUGUCAGGUGACAAUGAUGAUCCAUCCUACAUACCAGAGGAAUCAGUUGACAUUUCCUCUCCAGCACGUGAAAUAAACUUACGUCCACGCAGAGCUGUCAGGUAUGCAGAAAGGGAUGAUCAUGAUGUGAGUUAUUUUUGUCCAGUUAUUAAUUUGGGUGACCCGCUUACUGUUGAAGAAGCUCUCUCGUCUCCUCAUGCUGAAGAGUGGAAGAAGGCCAUGAAUGAGGAAUACGAUUCUCUAAUAAAGAACGGGACUUGGUCACUGGUGGAUUUGCCACCAGGCAAGAGAGCCUUACCAAGUAAAUGGGUCUUCAAAACCAAGACAAAUAAGAAAGGUGAGAUAGUUCGUUAUAAGGCAAGAUUGGUAAUUAAGGGGUGUGCACAAAGAAAAGGAAUUGACUACGACGAGGUCUAUGCUCCAGUGUUUGGGUGGAUGAUCUCAUGAUUUUUGCGAAUGACAAGAUUGUUGUCACAGAUAUCAAAACAAAACUGGAGGAAGAAUUUUGUAUGAAAGAUAUGGGUGAGAUACAGCAGUGCAUUGGCAUAAAUGUUAACAGAUGUCGUGAGGCAGGUGAGAUCAUGUUGGACCAAGAGAAAUAUAUAAACCAGGUAUUGGAACGAUUUGGCAUGUCUGAGUGCAAACCAGUGCGCACUCCAAUAGAAGUGAAUAUGAAAUUUGAUAAGAAACCUGAAAAUGAAGAUAGUAAUUUCCCAUACAGGGAAGCGGUGGGUUGUCUGAUGUACUUAUCACAAGUGACACGGCCUGACAUUAUGUAUGCUGUGAACAAAUUGAGUCAGUUCUGUAAUGAACCAGGGAUUCAACACUGGCUUGGAGUUAAAAGGGUUAUGAGAUACCUACAGGGGACCAAAAGCUUGAAGCUAUGUUAUGUCAAAGAUGACUCCAUGGAAAUAACCGGGUAUUGCGACGCAGACUGGGCUAGUGACCCACAUAAUAGAAGAUCAUGCUCUGGUUAUUCUUUUAUUUUUCAGAAUGCUUGCAUAUCUUGGAACUCGUGUAAGCAGCAGACUGUGGCGCUCUCGACUGCAGAGGCUGAAUAUAUGGCGAUGGCUUCGGCGACCCAGGAGGCGUUGUGGCUUCGGCAACUGCAAGCUGAGCUCGGCCAAGGAGUGGACACUGCGUUACUAAUCUAUAGUGAUAACCAAAGUGCAAUAAGACUAGCUUCAAAUGAAUGUUAUAAACCUAAAACUAAACACAUAGAUAUAAAGUUGCAUUUCCUGAGAGAGAAUGUUGUUGAUUGUAAAGUUAAAUUUCUAUUUGUUAAUGGUAGUUACAUGGUAGCUGACAAUUUAACCAAGGGUGUAACGCUUGCUAAGCAUUUGUAUUGUAUUAAUGAAAUGGGUUUGCGUUCUAGAGGGAGUGUUGGUAAAUGAGAACGCAAUCGAUUAGUUUAUUAAGGUUGGCUUUAUUGUUUAGUUUAAACGUUUCAUGUUGGCAGCACUUUUUUCUCUCUCUCGCCAUCUUUCUUCCUGUAAACGUGUGAAGUCUCGAAUAUAAUACGUUUGUUAAUA
Ostrinia nubilalis (European corn borer) is the source of this 4018-nucleotide long non-coding RNA. RefSeq lists it as uncharacterized. NCBI's taxonomy places the organism in Eukaryota, Metazoa, Arthropoda, Insecta, Lepidoptera, Crambidae. The record is from RefSeq and is a predicted model, not a curated record. The transcript is spliced from 2 exons.